RNAcentral lists this long non-coding RNA (567 nucleotides) under Equus asinus (donkey). RNAcentral describes it as "lncRNA (ENSEASG00005032673.1)". Lineage: Eukaryota; Metazoa; Chordata; Mammalia; Perissodactyla; Equidae. The record is from RNAcentral.
CCCUUCCUCCGGCUCUUCUCCCUUCCUGUCCUCUGACUCUGCUUUAUUCUGCUGUGGCACCACUCUGCCUGUCUGCUACAGGUCUUAUCUCAAAGCUUCACAGCCUACCUUUGGUGUCCAACGUGGAGCCAUGCCAGCCUCUUGGACCCAUGUGGCAAGUCACCUUUGCUGGUUCACCUUGGCCACCCCAGCCUGCAGGAUGGGUCUGAAAGAGGAGGGACGGUUGCUAACCAGGACGGAGGAUGCGGGAGAUUCCUGACUGCUCAGCCAAGGGGGCACGCAAGUUCUCCCAGGUUCUAUUCCGUGGCUCCAUGCAGAUGCAUCUGCCUUCCCACCAGCGGUGUUAAUUAAGCAGCGUCCAUGGGCCCAUAACACCUAGGCAUCGAGCAGACCCAGCGGAACGCAACUCCAAUGACUGAAUUCCUCUCCCAUCACGUGACACGGGUCCACACUGUCCAGACGUUCUUUUAUAGACAAUAUCACAAAGUGGCUCUUUAAUUGGAAAAGUACAAAGAAAGAAAUUAAUUAAAAGAAACUCUACGGAACCAUAAGUGACCAUGAACAUGG